GGCCGCAGUAUUUUAACUGUGCAAAGGUAGCAUAAUCAUUAGUCUUUUAAUUGAAGGCUAGAAUGAAUGGUUGGACGAAAUAUUAACUGUUUCAUAUAAAUUUAAAAUAAAAUUUUAUUUUUUAGUAAAAAAGCUAAAAUAAAUUUAAAAGACGAGAAGACCCUAUAAAUCUUUAUAUUUAGAUUAUUAUAAAUUUUUAGAAAAAUUUUUUUAUAAUAAUUUAUAAUAUUUUAUUGGGGUGAUAUUAAAAUUUAAUAAACUUUUAUUUAUUUUUACAUUUAUUUAUGAUUAGUUGAUCCAUUAUUAAUGAUUAGAAAAUUAAGUUACUUUAGGGAUAACAGCGUAAUUUUUUUUAAGAGUUCAUAUCGAAAAAAAAUAUUGCGACCUCGAUGUUGGAUU
Molecule: ribosomal RNA, 399 nt
Filed under: Degeeriopsis sp. Dege_25022006
Lineage: Eukaryota; Metazoa; Arthropoda; Insecta; Diptera; Tachinidae
Description: partial 16S rRNA
Source: RNAcentral